RNAcentral lists this transfer RNA (73 nucleotides) under Camelus bactrianus (Bactrian camel). It matches the Rfam family "tRNA". From Rfam's summary of the family: Transfer RNA (tRNA) molecules are approximately 80 nucleotides in length. Their secondary structure includes four short double-helical elements and three loops (D, anti-codon, and T loops). Further hydrogen bonds mediate the characteristic L-shaped molecular structure. tRNAs have two regions of fundamental functional importance: the anti-codon, which is responsible for specific mRNA codon recognition, and the 3' end, to which the tRNAs corresponding amino acid is attached (by aminoacyl-tRNA synthetases). tRNAs cope with the degeneracy of the genetic code in two manners: having more than one tRNA (with a specific anti-codon) for a particular amino acid; and 'wobble' base-pairing, i.e. permitting non-standard base-pairing at the 3rd anti-codon position. RNAcentral also lists the same sequence under 2 other names. The record is from Rfam by way of RNAcentral. Lineage: Eukaryota; Metazoa; Chordata; Mammalia; Artiodactyla; Camelidae.
UGGGGUAUGGCUGAAUUGGUAGAAUGGUUGCUUAGCAUGCAUGAGGUCCUGGGUUCAAUCCCCAGUACCUCCA